UACGGAGGAUCCGAGCGUUAUCCGGAUUUAUUGGGUUUAAAGGGUGCGCAGGCGGGAGAUUAAGUCGGCGGUGAAAUUUUGCAGCUCAACUGUAAAAGUGCCUUCGAAACUGGUUUUCUUGAGUGUGGAUGAAGUAGGCGGAAUUUGUGGUGUAGCGGUGAAAUGCAUAGAUAUCACGAUGAACUCCGAUUGCGCAGGCAGCUUACUAAACCAUAACUGACGCUCAGGCACGAAGGCGUGGGGAUCAAACAGGAUUAGAUACCCCGGUA
Molecule: ribosomal RNA, 269 nt
Filed under: uncultured prokaryote
Description: partial 16S ribosomal RNA
Rfam family: Bacterial small subunit ribosomal RNA
Source: RNAcentral